This 465-nucleotide ribosomal RNA is filed under the name uncultured Lactococcus sp. Its description in RNAcentral is "bacterial SSU rRNA". It matches the Rfam family "Bacterial small subunit ribosomal RNA", at positions 451 to 917 of the family's 1533-position model. The record is from RNAcentral. Lineage: Bacteria; Bacillati; Bacillota; Bacilli; Lactobacillales; Streptococcaceae.
AGUGGAAAGCUCAUCAAGUGACGGUAACUACCCAGAAAGGGACGGCUAACUACGUGCCAGCAGCCGCGGUAAUACGUAGGUCCCGAGCGUUGUCCGGAUUUAUUGGGCGUAAAGCGAGCGCAGGUGGUUUAUUAAGUCUGGUGUAAAAGGCAGUGGCUCAACCAUUGUAUGCAUUGGAAACUGGUAGACUUGAGUGCAGGAGAGGAGAGUGGAAUUCCAUGUGUAGCGGUGAAAUGCGUAGAUAUAUGGAGGAACACCGGUGGCGAAAGCGGCUCUCUGGCCUGUAACUGACACUGAGGCUCGAAAGCGUGGGGAGCAAACAGGAUUAGAUACCCUGGUAGUCCACGCCGUAAACGAUGAGUGCUAGAUGUAGGGAGCUAUAAGUUCUCUGUAUCGCAGCUAACGCAAUAAGCACUCCGCCUGGGGAGUACGACCGCAAGGUUGAAACUCAAAGGAAUUGACGGA